This 321-nucleotide ribosomal RNA is filed under the name Hypophyllonomus longipes. RNAcentral's name for it is "partial 12S ribosomal RNA". The record is from RNAcentral. Lineage: Eukaryota; Metazoa; Arthropoda; Arachnida; Opiliones; Gonyleptidae. RNAcentral also lists the same sequence under 1 other name.
CCCUAUUAUGAAAGGUAUAUUAAAUUGGUAUAUUUUGACAAUUAAAAAGUUUGGCGGUUAUUGAUUAAUUUAGAGGAGCUUGUCUUUAUGAGAAUUUGCUCUUUAUAUUUUAUUAUUGAAUUAGAGGUUUAUUCAUCUCCGUUAUUAGAUAAAUUUUGAAGGAAAUUUGGCUUCGUAUUUCAGGUCAAGAUGUAGCAUUCUUUAGGGGAGAUUAGCUACAAUUAUAAAUUAAUUGGAUCUUAUUUAGUUUGAUUGUGAGAGAAAAUGAAUUUGGUUGUAAUAAUAAUUAGAAUGUUAUUAUGAAAUAGUGUUAAUAAUGUA